CAAUCCCCCUCCCUCCUCCUUCUUCUCAACUGCCUGCACACGCCACACUGCACAGAGAGGGAGAUGCCUGCCAGCACGAGGAGCCUGUCAGCGGGAGAAGCCAAAGUCUCUAGAAGUCUCUCUAAGAUUCCAUAGAAGAAUGGUGAUGAGGGGCCAACAAGGUUCAGAGAAACCAUUUUCAUAUUUAUUCCAAAUGGAACCUGCUUUAUAUCCGUCUAUACACGUCCAGCACAGACGACCACUGCCGACACAGCUCUCUUGUGUAAUGCUAGCUUGGAGGGGAAGUUAAAC
This is a long non-coding RNA of Pseudophryne corroboree (corroboree frog), 291 nucleotides long. RefSeq lists it as uncharacterized. The record is from RefSeq and is a predicted model, not a curated record. NCBI's taxonomy places the organism in Eukaryota, Metazoa, Chordata, Amphibia, Anura, Myobatrachidae. The transcript is spliced from 3 exons.